This is a non-coding RNA of Nomia melanderi (Alkali bee), 1820 nucleotides long. Lineage: Eukaryota; Metazoa; Arthropoda; Insecta; Hymenoptera; Halictidae. The record is from RefSeq and is a predicted model, not a curated record.
CCAUUGACUAAAUUGGUAUCACCCCGUGGAUUCGACCUUUUCAGAUUCCAUCGGUAUCUAACUAUGUACACGCGAUUACGAUCCAUUGUUUUUAGCGUUCGUUGCCGAAUACAGCUUUGUAUAUUAAACCUCAUCUAGUCCCAGAAGACAAUUUCCACUGCUGCCAGCGAUCACGGAACACCUGUCGACGUGGAAGGUGUGGAACCGCAAACGGUCAGCCACAGAAGCUUUCUUUGUGCUCGCAAACGGAACACCGGCAUCGAAUGAAUCUACAACGAGCCGAACGGAAGGGGUUCAUCAUCGCCGAGAAAGUAGCGAGGCAAUUAUUCCGCCGGUUGCGCAUCAAACAAAACCGUAACCAAAAUUGAAUACGCACAUAGGCGACGCUUGAUCCAGCCGCGCGACCUGGCUGGCAAUAUCCGCAGAUGCACACAAAACUUAUCCAAAUGUCCGCCGAGACGAAGACUGACCACCACAAAUAGAAUCAAAUUGACGACCGCUUACAGAGCUAGUCCAUGACUCGUUUUAGUUUUAACAAGAACUAAAGAGAAAGGAAGAGGCUACAGUUGACGCUAUUCGAGGUUCAUGACUCUGAACUGAGUCCUUCGGUAUUCGUUCAGAUACUUUCCAACCAUUCUAGCUACUUAUACAUUAUUAUAAGUUCUUCUAUAUUAUCUGAGCUACCAUAUGUAGUUCAUUAAUUAGUUGGCAAUAUUACAGAAGUAUUAAAGUCUGUACUUUGACGUAUAGAAUGAGUUGGAUAGCAACGACGACACAGUUUUCAGGAACUUGAAAUAGGGUCAACUGUAAGAGAGAGAGAGAUCGUUCUUCAAGAAACAGGGUUGCUGCAGCAGCAUUGUAAAGGGGAGCGGCUCUGUGAAACUAGUAACGUCGUGAAUAACGAAGGGCAAUUACAUGCAGUUACUUAUACACGUGUAGAAGUGUUGCGAGGUUGAAAGCAAUACGUAAUAUUGUACACACAUACACACACACACAUACAUUAUAUGUAUUAUAUAUUGUUUUUUUAGGUACAAGAAAUUAUUUUGUAGGAGUCUUGUCCGUAGAGUACCUGUGACUUUUAUGGAGCAAAUUAGAAUCUAUUUUAGUAAACUGUACCGCUCGUUCAUUUGAUCCUCCACUCCUCCGCCUGUGUCCUCUAUGAAAACCACAGGCCGCGCCAAGUUCAACGGCACGCACAUAUCAGCGGAGAAGACGCGUACGAAAGACUCGGAACCGUUGUAUCAGCGUUCCAAAGCGAAUCUGUAUACAUAGUCUAGUCUAGUUGAACGGCGCGCGUAUCAUUCGCAGCACGCGUGGUCACGGAUGGGCAAAAUUCAAUGACGAAGAGGAAACCAGCAUAGGUGGACAAGAAUUUUGCUCGUCUUGCAAACGAGACGAUCGUUUCUUAUUCCGCUGUAUGAGCCGCUGAUCAGCCAACACCGCAGAAUGAAAACUUCUAUCAAAGAAAUUUAUCUGAUUUCCUAAGCUAAAGUCAGUUACAUAGUUUGACGAUGAAACUUGAAAGAGUGGAGUUGACCGAUUUGCGGUUCAUAUUGUAAAGACAAAGUCUCGCUAGGUAUUUAGUUUCUUCAAAUAUUCGAACGUUGAAAAUACAGUUCUAUCGAGGCUGAACGAUCGUGAACGUUCCGAAAGCCUCGAAAGCUGUGCAAGCGUUGAAUCUUUCUAUAACUCAAUUUCUUUUCAACGACGAAGCGAGGAGUGGUAGCAAAAGGCGCCGGCCAAGAACACGCGUUGCGCUUGAUUUCUCGGCCCCCUCUGCCUGUCGUAGCAAGUUGUAUUUGUAGAAACUAGAAGCAACG